GAUCCUGGCUCAGAAUCAACGCUGGCGGCGUGCCUAACACAUGCAAGUUGAACGAGAAAGUGGAGCAAUCCAUGAGUAGAGUGGCAAACGGGUGAGUAACGCGUGGGUGACCUACCUUMGARUGGGGGAUAACGUCCCGAAAGGGACGCUAAUACCGCAUAACAUCCUGCCUUUGAACAGGUGGAGAUCAAAGCCGGGGAUCGCAAGACCUGGCGYUUGAAGAGGGGCCCGCGUCUGAUUAGCUAGUUGGUGAGGUAACGGCCCACCAAGGCGACGAUCAGUAUCCGGCCUGAGAGGGCGGACGGACACACUGGGACUGASACACGGCCCAGACUCCUACGGGAGGCAGCAG
RNAcentral lists this ribosomal RNA (352 nucleotides) under uncultured Acidobacteriota bacterium. RNAcentral's name for it is "bacterial SSU rRNA". It matches the Rfam family "Bacterial small subunit ribosomal RNA", at positions 15 to 354 of the family's 1533-position model. Lineage: Bacteria; Pseudomonadati; Acidobacteriota. The record is from RNAcentral.